GGAUGGCCGCCGGCCGGAGCCCUUUUGCCGUUGUGCUACUGAGCGUGAGGAGCAGUGCAAUGGUAAAAGGGCAUCGGCUGGCGGGGUCC
Non-coding RNA from Ornithorhynchus anatinus (platypus), 89 nucleotides. RefSeq annotates it as microRNA mir-130c. NCBI's taxonomy places the organism in Eukaryota, Metazoa, Chordata, Mammalia, Monotremata, Ornithorhynchidae. The transcript has a single exon. The record is from RefSeq and is marked provisional.